AUGUAACUGUAGAUUAUCUAGAGAGAUCAGAAGAACCAGGUUUACUUGUAACUGAUGAAGACGAGCAUGAAACGUUGCUUCUCCACCGCAUCAGUGCAGAGGAUAUCUACCGUAAGCAAGAAGAUACAAUUAUUUCUUGGAGGGAUCCGGAGUAUUCAACUGAACUGGCUCUUAGUUUUCAGGAGACCACUGGUUGCUCAUACAUAUGGGACAGCAUCUGUAGUGUGCAGAGAAACAUGCAAUUUAGUAGCCUUAAUUAUGAGACAUUUCAUAGUGCCAGCAGUGACUUGAGAGAACUGCCUCCAGUUGAGCUAUCUACGCUUCCCUUGAUAUUAAAGAUAGUUGUAGAGAGUGGUGUUGCUGAUCAGUUGCGUGUGACAGAACUAGUAUUGCAUGAUCAAAUUUUUUUCGGAAAGCUGAUGGAUUUAUUCAGAAUCUGUGAAGACCUGGAGAAUGUUGACAGUCUUCACAUUAUUUUCAAAAUAGUUAGAGGAAUUAUUUUUCUCAAUAGUUCCCAGAUCUUUGAAACAAUAUUUGGUGAUGAGUUGAUUAUGGAUAUUGUUGGAUGCCUUGAAUAUGACCCAGAGGCACCACAUAUCCAUCAUCGCGGUUUUCUGAAGGAGCACGUCGUAAAUAAGGAGGCUAUACCUAUCAAAGAUACGGUAGUCCUUUCAAAGAUACGUCAAACUUAUAGAGUUGGCUAUCUAAAGGAUGUCGUGUUGGCUCAAAUGUUGGAUGAGGCAACAAUAGCAAAUCUCAAUUCCAUAAUAAGUUCGAACAAUGCAAUGGUUGUAUCUCGCCUGAAAGAUGAUAAUGCCUUUAUUCAGGAAUUAUUUG
Molecule: unclassified non-coding RNA, 837 nt
Filed under: Hevea brasiliensis (rubber tree)
Lineage: Eukaryota; Viridiplantae; Streptophyta; Magnoliopsida; Malpighiales; Euphorbiaceae
Source: RNAcentral